Molecule: ribosomal RNA, 334 nt
Filed under: uncultured Micromonospora sp.
Lineage: Bacteria; Bacillati; Actinomycetota; Actinomycetes; Micromonosporales; Micromonosporaceae
Description: bacterial SSU rRNA
Rfam family: Bacterial small subunit ribosomal RNA
Source: RNAcentral
CUCGUAGGCGGCUUGUCGCGUCGACUGUGAAAACCCGCGGCUCAACCGUGUGGUCUGCAGUCGAUACGGGCAGGCUAGAGUUCGGUAGGGGAGACUGGAAUUCCUGGUGUAGCGGUGAAAUGCGCAGAUAUCAGGAGGAACACCGGUGGCGAAGGCGGGUCUCUGGGCCGAUACUGACGCUGAGGAGCGAAAGCGUGGGGAGCGAACAGGAUUAGAUACCCUGGUAGUCCACGCUGUAAACGUUGGGCGCUAGGUGUGGGGGGCCUCUCCGGUUCUCUGUGCCGCAGCUAACGCAUUAAGCGCCCCGCCUGGGGAGUACGGCCGCAAGGCUAAA